AUUGAACGCUGGCGGCAUGCUUUACACAUGCCAGUCGAACGGCAGCGCGGGCUUCGGCCUGGCGGCGAGUGGCGCACGGGUGAGUAAUACAUCGGAACGUGCCCAGUAGUGGGGGAUAGCUCGGCGAAAGCCGGAUUAAUACCGCAUACGACCUGAGGGUGAAAGCGGGGGAUCUUCGGACCUCGCGCUAUUGGAGCGGCCGAUGGCAGAUUAGCUAGUUGGUGGGGUAAAGGCCUACCAAGGCGACGAUCUGUAGCUGGUCUGAGAGGACGACCAGCCACACUGGGACUGAGACACGGCCCAGACUCCUACGGGAGGCAGCAGUGGGGAAUUUUGGACAAUGGGCGAAAGCCUGAUCCAGCAAUGCCGCGUGUGUGAUGAAGGCCUUCGGGUUGUAAAGCACUUUUGGCGGGAACGAAAAGGACUGUGCCAAUACCACGGUUCGAUGACGGUACCCGCAGAAUAAGCACCGGCUAACUACGUG
RNAcentral lists this ribosomal RNA (484 nucleotides) under uncultured bacterium. RNAcentral's name for it is "partial 16S ribosomal RNA". It matches the Rfam family "Bacterial small subunit ribosomal RNA", at positions 29 to 507 of the family's 1533-position model. The record is from RNAcentral.